AAACGUUGCAAAGUAUUAUAAUAUUCUUUAUCAAUUAUAAAAAAAAUAUUUCAAAUCAUCUUAUCAAUAAAUUAUCAACACACAAAAUGAUAGUGAACACCGAACCUGCAUGAUACAAGAAAUAUAAUAUCAAAAAAUACAUUAUUGAGAUUUGACAAUUUAUAUAAGUUAAAACAUCGAUGACGAGUAGGUAGGUAAUGAAUGACGUGUUUCUUUGUUUUUUAAGCCUCCAUAGUUCAGGCUUCAAUAAACAUAUUUUUAAGCAAUGUUUGCUAAUCAAAUAGUAGUUAAAACAGUAAAAAUGUAUAACUUAAAUAUUUUAAUUUUAAACAAAUAUGAUACUGUACUGUAUUGCCGAAUCUAUAUAUUAUGGUGCCAGUAUAGCAUGCGACACAAAAUUAGCUAAAUUGAUAACAUAUAAAAAAACACUAACUGUUUACCUAUAUCAAGUAAAAAACAUUUGGAUUCAAAAUACAAUAUAAAAUAUAAACAUACAUGAUUUAAAAGGAUCUAGAUGUCACUGUUAAAGGAAGUGCAGUUCUUAGCCCUAAUACUAAACUCAAUAAAUGUGUUGUAAUGGACAUUAAUGUUAUGGAAUACCUAUAAAUACCAACAUGUUCCUACACAUCUCAAAUAAAAAGCAAAAUGGCUGUUUCCCUGUUAUUGUACAAAGUCCUCCCGGCCGACGAAAAUUCUUCAACCAGCCCACGGUCUGGAUUGCCAAACAUGACUCGGAUACUCAAUGUAUUUUGUCCGAGACCGCUGACCAGCUCCAUCAAGUCUCAACCCGAGGAAGCAUACCACACCGGCACCUCGUUUUCGACCGUUUUUUCAUCGUAUCCAAUAUAUUUUGAUGCCAUCGUAUAGUACAACCAUAAUUACCUGAACAACAACAAUAAGUGCCCAGGCGGGCGUAGCAGCGACAAACGACAAUCCAUUGGAUACAAAUCAAUUCACCUGUUGUCAAGUAUACUCUCCCGUAUACCUUCCCAUUUUUUGCAACGCGGUCCGUUGUAUUCAAACAAAUAUUAAAAUAUUUUUUCUUACAGAAAACUAUACAAAUGAAUCAUAUUUUGCGCAAUGCACGAGUAUCCAUUGGAGCCUAAACGCAAAAAUACCAUAAUAUUAGCUGUCAUGUUAAAAUAUAUCCAGAUUUAUCCUCAUAAUCCCCAAAUUGUAUUAUAUACAAAUGUAUUUGCCAUGUUGCCCCCAAUUAUCAUAUUCCCAUGACUGAUAUUUUAUAUUAUUAUUAUCCCCCCCCCCCCACCAAAAAAAAAAACCUAUUAUAUUAUUUGUUGUUUUGAUGCCAUGUAAAAUAAAACCACUUAAUUACCUUUAAGAAAACUCUCUUUUUAUUAUUAUUGGUGUCACCUAUUCUCAGAUAUAAUUAAUAUUAUUAAUUUCAAAUAAAGUCACUACGCAGAAAAAAAAUAAAGUACUUUGUCUUAAAAAUUUCUUAUGUAAAUUGACCUGACAACUAAAUUAUGUUUCUUCAAAAUUCAAACAAUGUUAAAAUUUUAGUAAUAAUAUUAUAAUAACAUUUUUUAAAGAUUCAUUAAAAUUAUGAUAAAAUUAUUAUGGUAAAAAAAUUAUGUUUCUAUUCAUAACAUUAUAAGCAAAAUAUAGCUUUCUAACAUUUCCACUUAAACAUUAAUGUUUUAGAUAUUUUAAUAAUGUACUAAUAUUCAGAAAACAUUUUCACAAGUACAAAGAAAUAUAAAAAUCAAAUAUUAUAUUUAAACAAUAAGUUGUAAGUUUAAUUAUAAUAUAUCAUUCUUGUUGAUUAAUUUUUAAUAUAAAUGAACACAAUUUAAUUAGGUUGUUUUGAAUUUUGAAUUUAUUUUUAAUGCGAAACGUCGCAUGUGUCAAGGCAGUUGUGUUAUGUUUAUAACAUAUUAUGUUUUUUCGGAAUAUUAUUGUACUUGAUGUUCGUUAUAAUUGGCAGUUGCAUCUGAACAAAUUGUUUAUAACUUUUAUUUAAUUUAAAUGUUUAAAUAUAUUAUUUGUUGUAGUAAACAAUAUGGUAUUAUAAUUUAUAUUUUAUAUUUAUUUUACACAGAUGACAUUUAAUUUAUAUUAGACAUUAUUUAUGUUAUACACAGAUAAAAUUAAAUUUAUAGUACCUACACAUUUUAAAUAAGUUACAUUCCUCCAUCAAGACUACAAUAUGCAAUUGGAGUUAAUUAAAUUGGUAAAUUUAGUACCAUUAUUGUGAUUUUCUUUAUUAGUAAUUUUUAAUUAAGGCACCCGGUGCUGGCUAUUUAUUAAG
Metopolophium dirhodum (rose-grain aphid) is the source of this 2269-nucleotide long non-coding RNA. RefSeq lists it as uncharacterized. The record is from RefSeq and is a predicted model, not a curated record. The transcript has 4 exons. Lineage: Eukaryota; Metazoa; Arthropoda; Insecta; Hemiptera; Aphididae.